RNAcentral lists this long non-coding RNA (211 nucleotides) under Elaeis guineensis (African oil palm). Its description in RNAcentral is "long non-coding RNA (EGUI_LNC079008)". The record is from RNAcentral. Lineage: Eukaryota; Viridiplantae; Streptophyta; Magnoliopsida; Arecales; Arecaceae.
AACUGUCUGAGCUAUGAUAACGCCCUUCCAGACUUCUCCAACGACGAACUUCUUCAGUCGUCCACCGGACUGCUUCAAAUGCUCCCCGAGCUUCACUAUCUACCGACCUUCUACAAUGAUCGACCGUUCUCCGGACCUCUUCCAGAUCUCUUCCAGCCAUGACAGAUUCUAAUCCGAACUUCCCAGACUUCGUCCACGGCCAAACUUCCCC